GACGAACGCUGGCGGCGUGCCUAAUACAUGCAAGUUGAGCGCUGAAGGUUGGUACUUGUACCGACUGGAUGAGCAGCGAACGGGUGAGUAACGCGUGGGUAAUCUGCCUUUGAGCGGGGGACAACAUUUGGAAACGAAUGCUAAUACCGCAUAAAAUCUUUAAACACAAGUUUUAAGUUUGAAAGAUGCAAUUGCAUCACUCAAAGAUGAUCCCGCGUUGUAUUAGCUAGUUGGUGAGGUAAAGGCCCACCAAGGCGAUGAUACAUAGCCGACCUGAGAGGGUGAAUGGCCAAAAUUGGACUGAGAACAGGCCCAAACCUCUACGGGAGGCAGCAGUAGGGGAUCUUCGGCAAAUGACGGAAGUCUGACCGAGCAACGCCGCGGGAGUGAAGAAGGUUUUCGGGUCGGAAAACUCUGUUGGUAGAGAAGAAAGUUGGUGAGAGUGGAAAGCGCAUCAAGUGACGGUAACUAACCAGAAAGGGACGGCUAACUACGUG
This 497-nucleotide ribosomal RNA is filed under the name uncultured bacterium. RNAcentral describes it as "partial 16S ribosomal RNA". It matches the Rfam family "Bacterial small subunit ribosomal RNA", at positions 28 to 507 of the family's 1533-position model. The record is from RNAcentral.